GACGAACGCUGGCGGCGUGCUUAACACAUGCAAGUCGAACGGUGAUGCUCCAGCUUGCUGGAGUGGAUCAGUGGCGAACGGGUGAGUAACACGUGAGCAACCUGCCCCAGAAUCUGGAAUAAGCGCUGGAAACGGCGUCUAAUACUGGAUACGAAACUGGCCCGCAUGGGCAUGGUUUGGAAAGUUUUUCGGUUUGGGAUGGGCUCGCGGCCUAUCAGCUUGUUGGUGAGGUAAUGGCUCACCAAGGCGACGACGGGUAGCCGGCCUGAGAGGGCGACCGGCCCCACUGGGACUGAGACACGGCCCAGACGCCUACGGGAGGCAGCAGUGGGGAAUAUUACACAAUGGGCGAGAGCCUGAUGCAGCGACGCCGCGUGAGGGAUGACGGCCUUCGGGUUGUAAACCUCUUUCAGCAAGGAAGAAGCGAAAGUGACGGUACCUGCAGAAGAAGCACCGGCUAACUACGUG
This 468-nucleotide ribosomal RNA is filed under the name uncultured bacterium. RNAcentral's name for it is "partial 16S ribosomal RNA". It matches the Rfam family "Bacterial small subunit ribosomal RNA", at positions 28 to 507 of the family's 1533-position model. The record is from RNAcentral.